AUAUGCCGCUUGGAAUCAUGAUGCUGUGGGCGGCAUAGCGUAAUAGCCGACCAUCACGGGGAUCUUGUCAGGUCGGCAGGUAUAGCCAGCACGGGCCGAAAGUAGGCGCUUGGAAGAACUCCCGCCCAUGUUUCAGGUUUCCGAAUUUUAUAGGCGCGUGCUGCCGUGAGCCUACAAGGGGUAGCCCUCAGCGGUGAGGGCUAGAAGUCACGGACGCCU
This 219-nucleotide non-coding RNA is filed under the name unclassified sequences. RNAcentral describes it as "PAGEV RNA". It matches the Rfam family "PAGEV RNA". The record is from Rfam by way of RNAcentral.